ACGGUACCAUCAGAAGAAGCACCGGCUAACUACGUGCCAGCAGCCGCGGUAAUACGUAGGGUGCGAGCGUUAAUCGGAAUUACUGGGCGUAAAGCGUGCGCAGGCGGUUAUGUAAGACAGAUGUGAAAUCCCCGGGCUCAACCUGGGAACUGCGUUUGUGACUGCAUAACUAGAGUACGGCAGAGGGAGGUGGAAUUCCGCGUGUAGCAGUGAAAUGCGUAGAGAUGCGGAGGAACACCGAUGGCGAAGGCAGCCUCCUGGGCCAGUACUGACGCUCAUGCACGAAAGCGUGGGGAGCAAACAGGAUUAGAUACCCUGGUAGUCCACGCUGUAAACGAUGACGACUGGGUGUUGCAGGUAUUGACCCCUGCGGUGCCGAAGCCAACGCGUUAAGUCGUCCGCCUGGGAAGUACGGCCGCAAGGCUAAAACUCAAAGGAAUUGACGGGGCCCGCACAAGCGGUGGAGCAUGUGGUUUAAUUCGACGCAACGCGAAGAACCUUACCCGGGCUCGAAAAUGCACGAAGU
Molecule: ribosomal RNA, 526 nt
Filed under: uncultured bacterium
Lineage: Bacteria
Description: bacterial SSU rRNA
Rfam family: Bacterial small subunit ribosomal RNA
Source: RNAcentral